AUUUCAACAGGCCGAGGUCUGGACUUUGAGUGGAGUAAAGUGAAUAGCAGAAGAACAGACACAAAGAACUUUCCUUCCACAAAGAACAAUUACUACUGGAGGGCCUAGUUCUUGCCUGGGGGCUGCCCACCUGCU
This is a long non-coding RNA of Fundulus heteroclitus (mummichog), 135 nucleotides long. RefSeq lists it as uncharacterized. The transcript has 3 exons. The record is from RefSeq and is a predicted model, not a curated record. NCBI's taxonomy places the organism in Eukaryota, Metazoa, Chordata, Actinopteri, Cyprinodontiformes, Fundulidae.